Molecule: small nuclear RNA, 108 nt
Organism: Octodon degus (degu)
Lineage: Eukaryota; Metazoa; Chordata; Mammalia; Rodentia; Octodontidae
Source: Ensembl
AUGUUCGCUUCGGCAGCACAUACACUAAAAUUGGAAUGAUACAGAAAAGAUGAGCAUAGCCCCUGUGCAAGGAUGACAUGCAAAUUCGUAGAAUUCUAAGGCAUUCAU